CCCCUAGAUGUUCUGGGCCGCACGCGCGCUACACUGAACAGUUCAACAAGUCUUAACCUUGGCCGAUAGGUCUGGGUAAUCUUUGAACGCUGUUCGUGAUUGGGAUAGACCUUUGCAAUUAUGGGUCUUCAACGAGGAAUUCCUAGUAAACGCAAGUCAUCAGCUUGCAUUGAUUACGUCCCUGCCCUUUGUACACACCGCCCGUCGCACCUACCGAUUGAAUGGUCCGGUGAAAUCUCGGAACGGCGGCUUGGUCGCUUGCGUCCGACUGCUGAAACUUGAUUAAACCAUAUCAUUUAGAGGAAGGUGAAGUCGUANCA
This 320-nucleotide ribosomal RNA is filed under the name uncultured eukaryote. Its description in RNAcentral is "partial 18S ribosomal RNA". It matches the Rfam family "Eukaryotic small subunit ribosomal RNA", at positions 1470 to 1796 of the family's 1831-position model. The record is from RNAcentral.